This is a long non-coding RNA of Thunnus maccoyii (southern bluefin tuna), 902 nucleotides long. RefSeq lists it as uncharacterized. The transcript has 4 exons. NCBI's taxonomy places the organism in Eukaryota, Metazoa, Chordata, Actinopteri, Scombriformes, Scombridae. The record is from RefSeq and is a predicted model, not a curated record.
UUUAUUGUGUUAUUAAAUGAAUUUGAAGGACACAAACAAAAAAAAUUUAAAAAGUAAUUUUCUGAUCAAGUUCAAAUUUGAAUGUAAAUUACAAUUUACAGUUUUGGACCUGGGAACCAUAGUUUAUAUUCUAGACUAGGUAAACUAAUUUGCAUGAUGAAUGACUAUACAUACUGUACAAGCGUGCACCCUUGUUUUGCCAUACCAUUAUAUUUAACAUGUGUCUGUCAGUUUCUGCGGGCCCACUGGCAGUCAGACCCCUGCUAUGCCUUUUAUGGAGUGGAUGGCACCACCUGCCCCAUAUUGCCUCAGCCAGAUAGAGGACUUUUGUCCCCAUCCUCUUGGAAGGAGCCCCUCUGUACCGCCAUGGCACCAGAACAGUCCAAUACAGAGAAGGCUGAGAUAUGUACAACUCCGAGGCCACUGUAUGAGGUCAUCAGCAACAACAGCAGUCCUGCAAUAAGAUUCAUAACCAGCAGGUGCUGCUUUAUCCCGGUGCCUUGACUGGGACUGCUGGCCAGUGUUUUGAAGCCAUGGUAGAGAGAGGGGGGUCCUCAAGGGGAGCUGGUCCAGUGGACUGACCUCAGUGCGUAUCUGACCAUCCUUGGCAACAACCUGACUCGCACCACCUUGCAGCACCACCUCCACAGUUGCCGAUGUUGAUAUAUGCACAUAUCUGACAAACAAAGUUACAUCAGGAAAAUGUGGAACUUCUCUGCCCCGCUCGUCUUCACCGAGUCGACUCUGCUGUUCUCUCCGCCAUGCCACUGAGAGCCAGCUGCUGUGAUUUUCGCCCACCGUGCAAGAACGCCCACCGUCUGCAUCUGAGCCAAGGACAAAGUUGGACAUUAAGAUGGACUACACACAUACCCUGCUCGCUUUCUGAAGCGACCAAGUAAGAG